This is a long non-coding RNA of Prionailurus viverrinus (fishing cat), 938 nucleotides long. RefSeq lists it as uncharacterized. The record is from RefSeq and is a predicted model, not a curated record. The transcript is spliced from 2 exons. Lineage: Eukaryota; Metazoa; Chordata; Mammalia; Carnivora; Felidae.
UGUCCCAUCACUGGUGAUAUUACUUUGAUUACUUGGUUAAGGUGGGAUUUGUCCAGUUUCUCUGCAUUAAACUUACUACUUUUCCUUUUUCUAGUUGUCUGGUAAAGGAAAUUGACACUUAAACUGGUCAUUUCGACACAGCAUGGUAGGUAUGACAGACAGCCAGGGUACCAUGGGAGCCAUGGAAUCCCCUGACGUGAUGACACCUCAGCGGUGACUUAGGGAAUGAUUGUUGAAUCAGCCAGCCACAGGAAUCUGGGGAGGAUAUUCUAGAAGGCUACAAUACCAUGAACACAGCCAUAGAGCCAUGAAAUAGCAUGGUUUGUUUAGGAAACUGCAGUGGUUGGCAUCUUGAGUUCUGAGAUUGAGUUCUCCAAUCAUGGAAUCCUCAGAUGGAAAUCUGAGUGCGUGAGGUCUCAUGGGAAGCUGGAAGUGAAGCAUAAAAAUUAUUGAAAAUAAAAAUGGGAAAAAUGAUGCAAAUAAAACAAAAAUCAACCUGAAUCUGGCUUUGCAAUAUAUAGCCGAGAAGCCUGCUACUCUUUGGCUUGAGUAAGAAGUUAAAAUUGUGGAGUGGUGAAUGGGUGUAGCCUCUCUAUGCUCUUUGACACUCAGCCAAUUUGAAAUUUUUAUUUUUGUGGCAAAUGUUGCUAACUUACCCAAGUAUGAGGUAGCAAAUACAUUUGGACUGCCCAGGACUUUUCCAGGCUCCUGUCAAGAAACUGCUAUAAUUCUCCAAGAGUCUCCAAAUUAAAUUCGUGUCAAGACAUCUCCUUUGUUCUAGAAGUGAGGUCAUCUUUGGAAAGUGGACAUUAGCGAUGCUGUGAGUGAGAAAAGGAUUAUGAACCUCUGUCUGAGCUUUAAUGAUGUCUAGGCAAAAAUACAUGUUCAGAAGAAUUCCUUGAGGUUUUCAAGACCCUAUAAAUUUCUAAGAGAAAUUA